This 72-nucleotide transfer RNA is filed under the name Copromyces sp. CBS 386.78. RNAcentral describes it as "tRNA-Thr". It matches the Rfam family "tRNA". Rfam says of the family: Transfer RNA (tRNA) molecules are approximately 80 nucleotides in length. Their secondary structure includes four short double-helical elements and three loops (D, anti-codon, and T loops). Lineage: Eukaryota; Fungi; Ascomycota; Sordariomycetes; Sordariales; Sordariaceae. The record is from RNAcentral.
GCCCGCAUGGCUCAAUGGUAGAGCGCAUCACUAGUAAUGAUGAGGUCGUCAGUUCGAUUCUGGCUGUGGGCA